RNAcentral lists this ribosomal RNA (374 nucleotides) under uncultured bacterium. RNAcentral's name for it is "bacterial SSU rRNA". It matches the Rfam family "Bacterial small subunit ribosomal RNA", at positions 28 to 403 of the family's 1533-position model. The record is from RNAcentral.
GACGAACGCUGGCGGCGUGCUUAACACAUGCAAGUCGAGCGGUAAGGCCCUUUCGGGGGUACACGAGCGGCGAACGGGUGAGUAACACGUGGGUGACCUGCCCUCAGCUCUGGGAUAAGCCCGGGAAACUGGGUCUAAUACCGGAUAUGACUUCAUGACGCAUGUUGUGGAGUGGAAAGCCUUGUGCGGCUGAGGAUGGGCCCGCGGCCUAUCAGCUUGUUGGUGGGGUGAGGGCCUACCAAGGCGACGACGGGUAGCCGGCCUGAGAGGGCGACCGGCCACACUGGGACUGAGAUACGGCCCAGACUCCUACGGGAGGCAGCAGUGGGGAAUCUUGCGCAAUGGGCGAAAGCCUGACGCAGCGACGCCGCGUG